Phrynosoma platyrhinos (Desert horned lizard) is the source of this 72-nucleotide non-coding RNA. Lineage: Eukaryota; Metazoa; Chordata; Lepidosauria; Squamata; Phrynosomatidae. The record is from the annotation of a GenBank genome assembly.
GCCAGUGUGGUAUAGUGGUUUGAGCACUGGACUGCAACUCUGGAGACCAAGGUUCAAAUCCCUGCUCUGCUG